CCUACGGGAGGCAGCAGUGGGGAAUAUCGCACAAUGGGCGGAAGCCUGAUGCAGCGACGCCGCGUGAGGGAUGACGGCCUUCGGGUUGUAAACCUCUUUCAGUAGGGAAGAAGCGAGAGUGACGGUACCUGCAGAAGAAGCGCCGGCUAACUACGUGCCAGCAGCCGCGGUAAUACGUAGGGCGCAAGCGUUGUCCGGAAUUAUUGGGCGUAAAGAGCUCGUAGGCGGUUUGUCGCGUCUGCUGUGAAAGCCCGGGGCUCAACCCCGGGUCUGCAGUGGGUACGGGCAGACUAGAGUGCAGUAGGGGAGACUGGAAUUCCUGGUGUAGCGGUGAAAUGCGCAGAUAUCAGGAGGAACACCGAUGGCGAAGGCAGGUCUCUGGGCUGUUACUGACGCUGAGGAGCGAAAGCAUGGGGAGCGAACAGGAUUAGAUACCCUGGUAGUCCAUGCCGUAAACGUUGGGCACUAGGUGUGGGGGACAUUCCACGUUUUCCGCGCCGUAGCUAACGCAUUAAGUGCCCCGCCUGGGGAGUACGGCCGCAAGGCUAAAACUCAAAUGAAUUGACGGGG
This 570-nucleotide ribosomal RNA is filed under the name uncultured Kocuria sp. Its description in RNAcentral is "bacterial SSU rRNA". It matches the Rfam family "Bacterial small subunit ribosomal RNA", at positions 338 to 918 of the family's 1533-position model. The record is from RNAcentral. Lineage: Bacteria; Bacillati; Actinomycetota; Actinomycetes; Micrococcales; Micrococcaceae.